GUCUACAGCCACGCCACCCUGAACGUGCCCGAUCUCGUCUGAUCUCGGAAGCUAAGCAGGGUUGGGCCUGGUUAGUACUUGGAUGGGAGACCACCUAGGAAGACCAGGCGCUGUAGGCG
This 119-nucleotide ribosomal RNA is filed under the name Pteropus alecto (black flying fox). Lineage: Eukaryota; Metazoa; Chordata; Mammalia; Chiroptera; Pteropodidae. The record is from RNAcentral.